ACAUCCAGAGGAUUUAGCAGAGAUGCUUUAGUGCCUUCGGGAACUCUGAGACAGGUGCUGCAUGGCUGUCGUCAGCUCGUGUUGUGAAAUGUUGGGUUAAGUCCCGCAACGAGCGCAACCCUUAUCCUUUGUUGCCAGCACGUAAUGGUGGGAACUCAAAGGAGACUGCCGGUGAUAAACCGGAGGAAGGUGGGGAUGACGUCAAGUCAUCAUGGCCCUUACGAGUAGGGCUACACACGUGCUACAAUGGCGCAUACAAAGAGAAGCGACCUCGCGAGAGCAAGCGGACCUCAUAAAGUGCGUCGUAGUCCGGAUUGGAGUCUGCAACUCGACUCCAUGAAGUCGGAAUCGCUAGUAAUCGUAAAUCAGAAUGUUACGGUGAAUACGUUCCCGGGCCUUGUACACACCGCCCGUCACACCAUGGGAGUGGGUUGCAAAAGAAGUAGAUAGCUUAACCUUCGGGAGGGCGUUUACCACUUUGUGAUUCAUGACUGGGGUGAAGUCGUAACAAGGUAAGCGUAGUGCU
This 526-nucleotide ribosomal RNA is filed under the name uncultured bacterium. RNAcentral's name for it is "bacterial SSU rRNA". It matches the Rfam family "Bacterial small subunit ribosomal RNA", at positions 984 to 1509 of the family's 1533-position model. The record is from RNAcentral.